AUUGAACGCUGGCGGAAUGCUUUACACAUGCAAGUCGAACGGCAGCACGGUGGCAACCCUGGUGGCGAGUGGCGAACGGGUGAGUAAUACAUCGGAACGUGCCCGGUCGUGGGGGAUAACGUAGCGAAAGUUACGCUAAUACCGCAUUCGAUCUGAGGAUGAAAGCGGGGGACCUUCGGGCCUCGCGCGCUCGGACCGUCGGAUGUCAGAUUAGGUAGUUGGUGGGGUAAAGGCCUACCAAGCCGACGAUCUGUAGCUGGUCUGAGAGGACGACCAGCCACACUGGGACUGAGACACGGCCCAGACUCCUACGGGAGGCAGCAGUGGGGAAUUUUGGACAAUGGGCGCAAGCCUGAUCCAGCCAUUCCGCGUGCAGGACGAAGGCCUUCGGGUUGUAAACUGCUUUUGUAUGGAACGAAAAGGCUCUGGCUAAUACCUGGGGCUCAUGACGGUACCGUAAGAAUAAGCACCGGCUAACUACGUG
This 484-nucleotide ribosomal RNA is filed under the name uncultured bacterium. Its description in RNAcentral is "partial 16S ribosomal RNA". It matches the Rfam family "Bacterial small subunit ribosomal RNA", at positions 30 to 507 of the family's 1533-position model. The record is from RNAcentral.